Molecule: ribosomal RNA, 460 nt
Filed under: uncultured bacterium
Lineage: Bacteria
Description: partial 16S ribosomal RNA
Rfam family: Bacterial small subunit ribosomal RNA
Source: RNAcentral
CCUACGGGAGGCAGCAGUGAGGAAUAUUGGUCAAUGGGCGGGAGCCUGAACCAGCCAAGUCGCGUGAGGGAAGACGGUCCUAUGGAUUGUAAACCUCUUUAGGCGGGGAGCAAUGCCGGGCACGUGUGCCCGGAGGGAGAGUACCCGCAGAAUAAGCAUCGGCUAACUCCGUGCCAGCAGCCGCGGUAAUCCGGAGGAUGCGAGCGGUAUCCGGAUUGAUUGGGUUUAAAGGGUGCGCAGGCGGUUUUUUAAGUCAGCGGUAAAAUGUCGGGGAUCAACCCGGGCCGGCCGUUGAAACUGGGGAUCUUGAGUGGGAGAGAAGUAUGCGGAAUGCGUGGUGUAGCGGUGAAAUGCAUAGAUAUCACGCAGAACUCCGAUUGCGAAGGCAGCAUACCGGCGCCCGACUGACGCUGAGGCACGAAAGCGUGGGGAUCGAACAGGAUUAGAUACCCUAGUAGUC